AUCCAGCCGACGAGUCCCAAAUAGGACGAAACGUGCAUCAAACUGGAU
RNAcentral lists this non-coding RNA (48 nucleotides) under Schistosoma mattheei. Lineage: Eukaryota; Metazoa; Platyhelminthes; Trematoda; Strigeidida; Schistosomatidae. The record is from RNAcentral.